GAUGAACGCUGGCGGCGUGCCCAAUACAUGCAAGUCGAGCGAACAGACGAGGAGCUUGCUCCUUUGACGUUAGCGGCGGACGGGUGAGUAACACGUAGGUAACCUACCUAUAAGACUGGGAUAACUUCGGGAAACCGGAGCUAAUACCGGAUAAUAUUUCGAACCGCAUGGUUCGAUAGUGAAAGAUGGCUUUGCUAUCACUUAUAGAUGGACCUGCGCCGUAUUAGCUAGUUGGUAAGGUAACGGCUUACCAAGGCAACGAUACGUAGCCGACCUGAGAGGGUGAUCGGCCACACUGGAACUGAGACACGGUCCAGACUCCUACGGGAGGCAGCAGUAGGGAAUCUUCCGCAAUGGGCGAAAGCCUGACGGAGCAACGCCGCGUGAGUGAUGAAGGUCUUCGGAUCGUAAAACUCUGUUAUUAGGGAAGAACAAACGUGUAAGUAACUGUGCACGUCUUGACGGUACCUAAUCAGAAAGCCACGGCUAACUACGUG
RNAcentral lists this ribosomal RNA (497 nucleotides) under uncultured bacterium. Its description in RNAcentral is "partial 16S ribosomal RNA". It matches the Rfam family "Bacterial small subunit ribosomal RNA", at positions 28 to 507 of the family's 1533-position model. The record is from RNAcentral.